Non-coding RNA from Phalacrocorax carbo (great cormorant), 651 nucleotides. Lineage: Eukaryota; Metazoa; Chordata; Aves; Suliformes; Phalacrocoracidae. The record is from RefSeq and is a predicted model, not a curated record.
CUGAAUCGUGUUAUCAGAAUUCCGGUAGUUGGCAAGGUGCUAGAAACCCCUGUAACAGAGGAGAAAGAGGCAGAGUUACUCAAAAAGCUACGGUAUGACAGCAGAAUGGUCUUAUACUGCCACAACUGGACAUUUCUCCAAGGAUCAAUACUUUAACAUGGCAUAAAGGCAACAGGAUGGCCGAGAACUCCACUGAAGGUCACCUUGCUCCCAGACACUGAUGCAACUCUUUUCCAACUCAGCAAGAUGGAAGAAACGUGCUCAAGUAUGUGUAACGACUCUCUGGCAACCAUUUGCAGACUACCUAUUUGCAGCUGAUGACAUCUGUCCAAACCUUGCACUGUUUCAGAAGAACUCGAAAUUUAAAAAAGAACCUCACAACAUGCAGUAAUUCGGAAAGCUUAACAUGAAAUUUAGUUAGGGAAACAGGAUCUCUGCUGAAAUCCCAGAAUUAUUUAUCACAACCUAUCUCUCCUCCUGCUCUCAGUUUUUAUUAUCUCACUGAUUGGUCACUGAUACAUAAGGUGGUUUGCCAAGCAUAGUCAUAAUACUAUUUCCUCCCAGUCCAGCUCGUGAAAAAUGUAUGCUUUUAUUUAAAGCAACAUCAUGUUUAAUUUUGUGGCAAUAAAGGAGUUUUUUAUUGCAUUCUGA